Molecule: ribosomal RNA, 274 nt
Filed under: uncultured bacterium
Lineage: Bacteria
Description: partial 16S ribosomal RNA
Rfam family: Bacterial small subunit ribosomal RNA
Source: RNAcentral
AUACGGAGGGUGCGAGCGUUAAUCGGAAUUACUGGGCGUAAAGCGCGCGUAGGCGGAUAAUUAAGUCAGAUGUGAAAUCCCCGGGCUCAACCUAGGAACUGCAUUUGAUACUGAUUAACUAGAGUAUGGUAGAGGUGAGUGGAAUUUCCGGUGUAGCGGUGAAAUGCGUAGAGAUCGGAAGGAACACCAGUGGCGAAGGCGACUCACUGGGCCAUUACUGACGCUGAGGUGCGAAAGCGUGGGUAGCAAACAGGAUUAGAUACCCUAGUAGUCC